CCUACGGGAGGCAGCAGUCAGGAAUAUUUGUCAAUGGACGAGAGUCUGAACCAGCCAAGUAGCGUGGAGGAUUGCUGCCCUAUGGGUUGUAAACUUCUUUUAUAUGGGAAUAAAAUGUUCAAAGUGUAGGACUUUGUAUGUACCAUAUGAAUAAGGUUCGGCUAACUCCGUGCCAGCAGCCGCGGUAAUACGGAGGAUCCGAGCGUUGUCCGGAUUGAUUGGGUUUAAAGGGAGCGUAGGUGGAUUGUUAAGUCAGUUGUGAACGUUGGCGGCUCAACCGUAAAAUUGCAGUUGAAACUGGCAGUCUUGAGUAAAGGAGAGGGAGGCGGAAUUCGUGGUGUAGCAGUGAAAUGCGUAGAUAUCGAGAAGAACUCCGAUUGCGAAGGCAGGUCCCUGGACUUUAACUGACACUGAGGCUCGAAAGUGAGGGGAGCAAAAGGGAUUAGAUACCCGAGUAGUC
RNAcentral lists this ribosomal RNA (460 nucleotides) under uncultured bacterium. RNAcentral's name for it is "partial 16S ribosomal RNA". It matches the Rfam family "Bacterial small subunit ribosomal RNA", at positions 338 to 795 of the family's 1533-position model. The record is from RNAcentral.